This 203-nucleotide ribosomal RNA is filed under the name uncultured bacterium. RNAcentral describes it as "partial 16S ribosomal RNA". It matches the Rfam family "Bacterial small subunit ribosomal RNA", at positions 524 to 724 of the family's 1533-position model. The record is from RNAcentral.
UACGUAGGGGGCGAGCGUUGUCCGGAUUUAUUGGGCGUAAAGAGCGUGUAGGCGGCCAGGUAGGUCCGUUGUGAAAACUCGAGGCUCAACCUCGAGACGUCGAUGGAAACCAUCUGGCUAGAGUCCGGAAGAGGAGAGUGGGAAUUCCUGGUGUAGCGGUGAAAUGCGUAGAUAUCGUAAGGAAGACCAGUGGCGGAAGGCGG